This 1360-nucleotide ribosomal RNA is filed under the name Cellulomonas sp. 31(2015). Its description in RNAcentral is "bacterial SSU rRNA". It matches the Rfam family "Bacterial small subunit ribosomal RNA", at positions 76 to 1445 of the family's 1533-position model. Lineage: Bacteria; Bacillati; Actinomycetota; Actinomycetes; Micrococcales; Cellulomonadaceae. The record is from RNAcentral.
GGCAUCAGCUGGACGCAACGNGGAUCANUUAACACGCUGAGUUAACCUUGCCCUUUGACUUCUUGGGAUAAGCCAUUGGAAACGGGGUUCUAAUACUGGAUACGANACGCUCGGGCAUCCGAAGUGUCUGGAAAGAUUUAUCGGUCAGAGAUGGACUCGCGGCCUAUCAGCUUGUUGGUGGGGUAACGGCCUACCAAGGCGACGACGGGUANCCGGCCUGAGAGGGCGACCGGCCANACUGGGACUGAGACACGGCCCAGACUCCUACGGGAGGCAGCAGUGGGGAAUAUUGCACAAUGGGCGCAAGCCUGAUGCAGCGACGCCGCGUGAGGGAUGACGGCCUUCGGGUUGUAAACCUCUUUCAGCAGGGAAGAAGCGAAAGUGACGGUACCUGCAGAAGAAGCGCCGGCUAACUACGUGCCAGCAGCCGCGGUAAUACGUANGGGCGCAAGCGUUGUCCGGAAUUAUUGGGCGUAAAGAGCUCGUAGGCGGUUUGUCGCGUCUGCUGUGAAAACUCGAGGCUCAACCUCGGGCCUGCAGUGGGUACGGGCAGACUAGAGUGCGGUAGGGGAGACUGGAAUUCCUGGUGUAGCGGUGGAAUGCGCAGAUAUCAGGAGGAACACCGAUGGCGAAGGCAGGUCUCUGGGCCGCAACUGACGCUGAGGAGCGAAAGCAUGGGGAGCGAACAGGAUUAGAUACCCUGGUAGUCCAUGCCGUAAACGUUGGGCACUAGGUGUGGGGCUCAUUCCACGAGUUCCGUGCCGCAGCAAACGCAUUAAGUGCCCCGCCUGGGGAGUACGGCCSCAAGGCUAAAACUCAAAGAAAUUGACGGGGGCCCGCACAAGCGGCGGAGCAUGCGGAUUAAUUCGAUGCAACGCGAAGAACCUUACCAAGGCUUGACAUACACCGGAAACUUCCAGAGAUGGUUGCCCCGCAAGGUCGGUGUACAGGUGGUGCAUGGUUGUCGUCAGCUCGUGUCGUGAGAUGUUGGGUUAAGUCCCGCAACGAGCGCAACCCUCGUCCUAUGUUGCCAGCGGGUUAUGCCGGGGACUCAUAGGAGACUGCCGGGGUCAACUCGGAGGAAGGUGGGGAUGACGUCAAAUCAUCAUGCCCCUUAUGUCUUGGGCUUCACGCAUGCUACAAUGGCCGGUACAAAGGGCUGCGAUACCGCAAGGUGGAGCGAAUCCCAAAAAGCCGGUCUCAGUUCGGAUUGGGGUCUGCAACUCGACCCCAUGAAGUCGGAGUCGCUAGUAAUCGCAGAUCAGCAACGCUGCGGUGAAUACGUUCCCGGGCCUUGUACACACCGCCCGUCAAGUCACGAAAGUCGGUAACACCCGAAGCCGGUGGCCCAACCCUUGUG